ACUCCUACGGGAGGCAGCAGUAGGGAAUCUUCCACAAUGGGUGCAAACCUGAUGGAGCAAUGCCGCGUGAGUGAAGAAGGUCUUCGGAUCGUAAAGCUCUGUUGUUAGAGAAGAACACGUGCUAGGUAACUACUAGCGCCUUGACGGUAUCUAACCAGAAAGUCACGGCUAACUACGUGCCAGCAGCCGCGGUAAUACGUAGGUGACAAGCGUUGUCCGGAUUUAUUGGGCGUAAAGGGAGCGCAGGCGGUCUGUUUAGUCUAAUGUGAAAGCCCACGGCUUAACCGUGGAACGGCAUUGGAAACUGACAGACUUGAAUGUAGAAGAGGAAAAUGGAAUUCCAAGUGUAGCGGUGGAAUGCGUAGAUAUUUGGAGGAACACCAGUGGCGAAGGCGAUUUUCUGGUCUAACAUUGACGCUGAGGCUCGAAAGCGUGGGGAGCGAACAGGAUUAGAAACCCUAGUAGUCCCA
Molecule: ribosomal RNA, 470 nt
Filed under: uncultured organism
Description: partial 16S ribosomal RNA
Rfam family: Bacterial small subunit ribosomal RNA
Source: RNAcentral